Molecule: ribosomal RNA, 628 nt
Filed under: uncultured fungus
Lineage: Eukaryota; Fungi
Description: eukaryotic LSU rRNA
Rfam family: Eukaryotic large subunit ribosomal RNA
Source: RNAcentral
CCCGCUGAACUUAAGCAUAUCAAUAAGCGGAGGAAAAGAAACUAACAAGGAUUCCCCUAGUAACUGCGAGUGAAGAGGGAAAAGCUCAAAUUUAAAAUCUGGCAGUCUUUGAUUGUCCGAGUUGUAAUUUAGAGAAGUGUUACCCGUGUUGGACCGUGUACAAGUUUCCUGGAAUGGAACGUCAUAGAGGGUGAGAAUCCCGUCUUUGACACGGAUCCCAAUGCAUUGUGGUAUACUUUCGAAGAGUCGAGUUGUUUGGGAAUGCAGCUCUAAAUAGGUGGUAAAUUCCAUCUAAAGCUAAAUAUUGGGGAGAGACCGAUAGCGAACAAGUACCGUGAGGGAAAGAUGAAAAGAACUUUGGAAAGAGAGUUAAACAGUACGUGAAAUUGUUGAAAGGGAAGCGCUCAUGACCAGACUUGGGCCCGGUGAAUCAUCCAGCGCUCGUCGCUGGUGCACUUUGCCGGGCUCAGGCCAGCAUCAGUUCGCUCCGGGGGACAAAGGCUCUGGGAAUGUGGCUCCUCCGGGAGUGUUAUAGCCCACUGCGCAAUACCCUGGGGCGGACUGAGGUUCGCGCAUUCGUGCAAGGAUGCUGGCGUAAUGGUCAUCAGUGACCCGUCUUGAAACACGG